This 261-nucleotide ribosomal RNA is filed under the name uncultured Natrialba sp. RNAcentral describes it as "partial 16S ribosomal RNA". It matches the Rfam family "Archaeal small subunit ribosomal RNA", at positions 400 to 661 of the family's 1478-position model. Lineage: Archaea; Methanobacteriati; Methanobacteriota; Halobacteria; Halobacteriales; Natrialbaceae. The record is from RNAcentral.
GCCCUCGUUUUUCUGACCGUAGGGAGGUUGAGGAACAAGGGCUGGGCAAGACCGGUGCCAGCCGCCGCGGUAAUACCGGCAGCACAAGUGAUGACCGCUGUUAUUGGGCCUAAAGCGUCCGUAGCUGGCCGGACAAGUUCAUCGGGAAAUCUGCGCGCCUAACGGGCAGGCGUCCGGUGGAAACUGCCUGGCUUGGGACCGAAAGACCAAAGGGGUACGUCUGGGGUAGGAGUGAAAUCCCGUAAUCCUGGACGGACCACC